This 494-nucleotide ribosomal RNA is filed under the name uncultured fungus. Its description in RNAcentral is "SSU rRNA". It matches the Rfam family "Eukaryotic small subunit ribosomal RNA", at positions 215 to 721 of the family's 1831-position model. The record is from RNAcentral. Lineage: Eukaryota; Fungi.
AUAAAAAUCAACUUUGUUGGUGAAUCAUAAUAACUUCUCGGACCGCAUGGCCUCGUGCUGGCGGUGCUUCAUUCAAAUAUCUGCCCUAUCAACUGUGGAUGGUAGGAUAGAGGCCUACCAUGGUUGCAACGGGUAACGGGGAAUAAGGGUUCGAUUCCGGAGAGGGAGCCUGAGAAACGGCUACCACAUCCAAGGAAGGCAGCAGGCGCGCAAAUUACCCAAUCCCAACACGGGGAGGUAGUGACAAUAUGUAACAAUAUACGGCCUUAUACGUCGUAUAAUUGGAAUGAGUACAAUUUAAAUCCCUUAACGAGGAACAAUUGGAGGGCAAGUCUGGUGCCAGCAGCCGCGGUAAUUCCAGCUCCAAUAGCGUAUAUUAAAGUUGUUGCAGUUAAAAAGCUCGUAGUUGGACCUUGGACCUGGACAGGCGGUCCGCCUCACGGCGAGUACUGUCUUGCUGGGUCUUUCCUCUUGGUGAUCUGUUGUUUCGGCAG